AUGUUGUAUGGGAAUGCCCUCUCCUGUGCAUUACAGGAACAGAGAAUUCGCAACAAAAGGCUGAAGGAUGCGCACAGGAAACUUCUCCGAAAAAGGACCAAGACUGUUUCUGUGGCCAAGUAUAAUGAAGUCCUAAUACAGACGAAGAAGAAGGACAAUGUGAUAUCACAACUUCAACAUGAAAUCCUGCUUCUUCAGGAAAGAGUUGAAGACUUGACUUCAACCACGGAACAUCCUGAGGAGCAAGAAGUUAAUGGAAAGAUGUACUCAUCAGCCAUGAGAUUGAAAGUAUAUGACUGUAUAAGUAGUAAACUGUCAACAGCAAGUAUACCAGUAAUCUUACAGAGAAUAGCGAAGCAUGAUGGAAUUGAGCUCAAAACUGUACCCCAAAGGAGCACUGUUGAGUUGAUGGCCCAGGAAUUAGGAGUGAUUUCUCAACUGCAGACGGCUGAAAUGAUAUUGGCUAAUAAUAAUGUGACUUUGGGAUUUGAUGCAACUACCCAGGAAGGUACCCAUGUCAACGAAAUCCAUUUUAGUACCGAACAUGACAGCAUGUCAGCUGCAGUGGAUGAGUUGGCAGGAGGAACAGCAGAAGACUACUGCAAUCAUAUCUGCCAAACUGUAGAUGACUUGGCCCACACUUAUGUUUUCUUUACUGAAGGGACAAACUUCGAGGAAACUAGGGCAAAAUUGAUUGAGAAGAUAUCGAAUACGAUGACUGACCGAUGUGCGACCAAUCACGCGGCCGUCCGUCUCGUAAGUAGCGAGUGGGGGAAAACGCUGAACGAGAUGAACUGCCACUUGCACCCCCUGGAUUCGAUUGCGACAGCAUGUAGGUCUGCAUUGAAGAAAGUUGAAGAACUGAGGGGAAUGUUUAUGGCGGGGACUGUAUGGCAGCAAAUGUCAUACUGUCCUUUAGCAAACUUCGUUACAAGGACGGAAAGGGAGACCCCCGUGGUUUUGCGACUUUUUUGGAUCAGAAGAAACUCCCGAGGGGCAUUCUACCUCGUUACAGGGGCAAUCGAUUUCACGUGUUAUUUCACAGUGCUGGUGUACUUAUUGAGCACUAUGAGGUAUUUUCGGAGUUGUUGA
This 1092-nucleotide long non-coding RNA is filed under the name Scleropages formosus (Asian bonytongue). RNAcentral describes it as "lncRNA (ENSSFOG00015025620.1)". Lineage: Eukaryota; Metazoa; Chordata; Actinopteri; Osteoglossiformes; Osteoglossidae. The record is from RNAcentral.